GUAUUGUCUGCUGUGUCGCAAAUAUUGAAGAUUUAGGGAACAAUCACAUGUGAUGGCUUAUUACCACGAUAUGUCAAUUGGCAGCGAAAGAUAUGGGACAAGACAAUUACAUUGGACCUGUAGAACAUGUCGGAGAACAAGGCAAUGACACUGUUGGCACAUUGCACGUUUGGUAUAUUCAAUGGUUACGAGUUUGGUUGCAUCGACUAGCGAUGAUAAGACAAUGACAUUUGUUUUGAUGUAGUAUGUGUUACGAGUUGUUUUGUUUAUGUUGUUCAACUUUUAUCUAAUUUGGAUGACGGAUGUUGUUUUUUGCCUUCAAUGGAAGUUGGUUGGUUUGGCCAAAGUCCAUUGGUGGUAUCUUUUGGGAACUAGAAACCCACAAUAAUCCAUUUAUGUCAGUUUGGAAAUGCUUAAACUGAGGUUUGGUUUAA
Cynara cardunculus var. scolymus (artichoke) is the source of this 434-nucleotide long non-coding RNA. RefSeq lists it as uncharacterized. The record is from RefSeq and is a predicted model, not a curated record. The transcript is spliced from 2 exons. NCBI's taxonomy places the organism in Eukaryota, Viridiplantae, Streptophyta, Magnoliopsida, Asterales, Asteraceae.